AGCAGCCGCGGUAAUUCCAGCUCCAAUAGCGUAUAUUAAAGUUGUUGCAGUUAAAAAGCUCGUAGUUGAAUUUCGGGAUCAAGGAAUCGGUCAUGCCUCGGUAUGUACUGGUUUUAUUGGUUCUCACCUUCUAAAGAACCAUGAUGUCAUUCAUUUGAUGUUAUGGGGAAUUAGGACUGUUACCUUGAAAAAAUUAGAGUGUUUAAAGCAAGCUUACGCUUGAAUACAUUAGUAUGGAAUAAUGAAAUAGGACAUCCGAUUCUAUUUUGUUGGUUUCUAGGAUCGAUGUAAUGAUUAAUAGGGAUAGUUGGGGGCAUUAGUAUUCAAUUGUCAGAGGUGAAAUUCUUGGAUUUAUUGAAGACUAACUACUGCGAAAGUAUUUGCCAAGGAUGUUUUCAUUAAUCAAGAACGAAAGUUAGGGGAUCGAAGACGAUCAGAUACCGUCGUAGUCUUAACCAUAAACUAUAGCCGACUAGGGAUCGAUGAUGUUUAUUUUUAGUGUCUCAUUCGCACCUUAAC
This 519-nucleotide ribosomal RNA is filed under the name uncultured Glomus. RNAcentral describes it as "SSU rRNA". It matches the Rfam family "Eukaryotic small subunit ribosomal RNA", at positions 569 to 1092 of the family's 1831-position model. The record is from RNAcentral. Lineage: Eukaryota; Fungi; Glomeromycota; Glomeromycetes; Glomerales; Glomeraceae.